RNAcentral lists this long non-coding RNA (767 nucleotides) under Malus domestica (apple). Its description in RNAcentral is "long non-coding RNA (MDOM_LNC006158)". The record is from RNAcentral. Lineage: Eukaryota; Viridiplantae; Streptophyta; Magnoliopsida; Rosales; Rosaceae.
UCCCCUCCCACGACUCAGGCCCGCUGCCAAUCUAGGGAAGGAACAACAAGUCCUAGAGGAACAUGAAGGUACAUAGGACUCUAAGGUAUUCCGACAGACUCGCCCUAGAAGUCAGUACGGAGAGUCCAAGAAAAAACCACACGCCCUUGCUCAAACUUUCCUACUUCAAAAGGCGAUGGAGACUUACGAAAGAAAAUUCCAGUGGUACAUGGCUCUACUAAGGACCCCCUUGUCCUAUAGCUCUUUGAAGAAGUAAACAAGUUGAAGGCCGAACGUCAGGCCGAGAUACCUGACUGGAACCAACCCAGGCCUGGCCAUCUCAUAAGAAGGAUCCUCGACACCCCUAUUCAAGCGAAGACAAAACAAAAGCUUGGUUUACAACUAUAUACUGGAAGGGAUGACCCAAUUGAACACCUUAACCUCUUUGAGUCCACCAUGGCAUAUCGGAUGCACACCUUGACCAAUCCUAAAACUACUGAGCACCGGUCAUCGUUAUACCGUCAAAGACCCAGAAGAGUUUCCCUCCAACCAGAAGGCCAAUCACAGCGCGACACGUGUCAACAUCAGAAGCCAAUCACAACACGACACGUGUUAAUGUCAAAAUGAAACUAGAAACUCUCUUUUAUAAAUAGAGAUCAUUCGCUCACAAUAUUUCCUAAUGUCAUUUGUACUAAAUCAUUCACUAGUACUCACUAAAGGAGAGGUUGAACCUAUGUACUUGUGUAAACCCUUAACAAUUAAUGAGAACUCUUCUACUCCGUGGACGU